AGUGUUAGCUCUCACUUCCUUCUGCAGCCUUGACUGUGUUUCCAUGGCCUCCUCAGUCUAAAGGUUGCUUCUCUGCCUUCCACAGUCAAAGCCAACAAAUGAAAAUAAUCACUAGUGGGAGCUGGGCGGGAGUACCCAGGAUUCUGGUCAAUCACUCUUCAACUCAGAACAAGAGGAAGGCCUGCGGCAUGUCUGCUCCUGCCCUCCUCCAGCCAAGGAUGAGCUAUGUUUCACGUGCUGGCAGGCAGCAUCAUACAAAGUUCUGUUGAGUUCUGAGAUGGGUAUGACCGGAAGGAGCAACCUGGGGAGUGAAAGAAGCCCCCUGUCUUACAGUAUCUAAAUCCCUAAGUAUGGGGAAAACGGCACCAACAUUUUGGAAGCUGAAACACGCUGGGUGGUCCAGUGGUCCUGAGAUCAGACCUGAGAAAAUGGAAUCUCAAACCAGCAAAGGGAAGCUGAAAACCAACCUGAUUUACCCCACAAAAUUCUCCAAAGUCUCAGAUGGAUGGCACCAGGUGUCUGGCCAUGGGAGAGAAGGUGCAUUAAAACCAGAAGUCCAAGGCAGACUCUCUGGGAAGUCAGGCACCUGGUGCUCUCUGGCCAACAGAAGUCUGCAGCGUAUUCAUUCUCUGGAGACGGCAAACCAAGGACUUUGACUGGAGUGCCAGGCCCAGCUGAGAAAAAUCGAGUCCAUGUUUACUGAAUACUGAAGCAGGGGUCCCCAACCCUUUCCCCCAACUCAGCUCUCACAACAAGGGUGGCUUGACUCAUCCUUCAGGCAGACUGGAAGAUGCCUCUUUGAAGAAAGUGAAACAUUUCAUGAAGCACCUAAAAAGAUGAUCCUGGGAGAGUGUCCCCAAUAGCUAGUGUACCCAGACUAAACUGACCGGACCCAGCUAUGAGCUCAGACUUCCAAUCGGCCUUUUCUCCCUACUCUUACUCUGGAGCAGAAAGCCAAGAAUGACCAGAUAUCUGAUAAGUCCCUCUGAUAGGGAUGAUAAAGACCCAAACAAAAGGAAAAGGGCAGCUUAAAGGAAACAGAAACUUUGCAAAGAUAAGAAAACUCUGAAAAAUAUAUCAACAAAUACUCUGAGGGCUACAAGAAAGUAUUGCAUCCUUGAAGCA
Molecule: long non-coding RNA, 1125 nt
Organism: Lynx canadensis (Canada lynx)
Lineage: Eukaryota; Metazoa; Chordata; Mammalia; Carnivora; Felidae
Exons: 3
Source: RefSeq, a predicted model, not a curated record